Molecule: non-coding RNA, 315 nt
Organism: Meleagris gallopavo (turkey)
Lineage: Eukaryota; Metazoa; Chordata; Aves; Galliformes; Phasianidae
Source: RefSeq, a predicted model, not a curated record
CACGCUGUGUCGCCGAGCAGAUGUUCACCCGGACACCUGCGGGCCCACAUUUGGCGAGAGCGGGAUUUGCGUCCACAAGUUUUGCUUGUUUUUUGCCGACGGCCUUUACGAACACACUGCCGGACAGAGGGCGGUUCUGAAGUUCCCCCUUGAUGCCAUCAGAUGCGCAAUCGAGGAGGCAGAGCAGAAGCACUGCUUUGUUUGUGGAGAGAAGGGGGCCUCCAUCUACUGCGCAGAGACAGGCUGUGAACGCAGCUUUCAUCUGCCCUGUGCCACGGAUGGGGAAUGUGUCACGCAGUUCUUUGGGCAGCACAG